RNAcentral lists this long non-coding RNA (1015 nucleotides) under Equus caballus (horse). RNAcentral describes it as "lncRNA (ENSECAG00000046118.1)". The record is from RNAcentral. Lineage: Eukaryota; Metazoa; Chordata; Mammalia; Perissodactyla; Equidae.
GACAGUCCUUUGGUGAAAUGAGACUCACCUGAUGGUCUCUGGGAGCAUCUUGAUGAGAGGAGGGACCUCUCCAGAGUCUGAGACGUUGGUAGGGGCCAUUUUUCUGACCUGGUCCAGGCCUGCUGACACCGACCCUAGUAGGUGCCAUUGAGAUUCAUCCCUUGGCCUGUUAGCCCAGGGGUCUGCCACACCCACUAGACCACAGAUUUAAUCCAGUUCAGUCAAGGCAAGCAGCCCACCCAUGGACUGGCCCCACCCAACAGCAAGCCCUCUGGCUACUUUUCAGCCUGCAUUGACUGGAUGCCUUGAUCCUCUACAGGCAGGAAGAAGAAAUGAGAUUUGAUUGUUUCAGCUGAGGUUAAAGGAGAUAAGACAUUUAAGAAAUUGAAAUUUGGUACAAAAUGUAAUUGAAACAACACAUUCUAACAAACAAGAUGCAUUUUUAUUGUAAUUUGCUAUGUUUAAUGAAUGAUUUUUUUUAAUGAUUGGGAAGAUGCUUAGAACAAUGGACUCCGGACAUAAGUUGCUUGGGUUAGAUUUUGUUACUAAUUUUAUAAUGAAUUGCUCAUAAAAGUGAUUUAAAUCACUAAAUAUUUUCAGGCGUUCAGCAUUUUAGAAUAAUUGCCACCAUAUAAUGGAAAAUCUAUAUAAUAAGUAAUAUUGAUACUCAGCACCAUGACAAAUUAAUAGGCACUUGUCUCUCAGUAUGUUGACCACAAGUUGAAAUAACCAGAAAAAAGCAUUAGAAUUCCAAAAUAAAUUAUAAAAAUCACUGAUCUUUCAAAACCAGUAAGGAAAAUAAACAAAGCAAAAUGGAUUUUAGUAGCGAGUUUAAAAAAAAAAAAAAAAAGGGCCAGCCCCCUGGCCUAGUGGUUAAGUUCACUCGCUCCACCUUUGGCGGCCCUGGGUUUCACCAGUUUGGAUCCUAAGCAUGGACAUGGCACCGCUCAUCAGGCCAUGUUGAAGUGGCGUCCCAGAUGCCACAACUAGGAGGACCCACAACUAAAAAUAUACA